RNAcentral lists this long non-coding RNA (387 nucleotides) under Anser cygnoides (Swan goose). Its description in RNAcentral is "lncRNA (ENSACDG00005003834.1)". Lineage: Eukaryota; Metazoa; Chordata; Aves; Anseriformes; Anatidae. The record is from RNAcentral.
AUGUUUUUCUUUGAAGCAAUUAAAUUUGUAGCCUGUAGCCUUGAACAUGUUUGUGUGUUGUGUCAUGUUUGUAUUUUCAUCCCUAGUAGCAAUGACUCAGGACUAAAUCACCCUUUUGCAGGAAUUACCUAUAAAGGAAACUGGAAACUCCAUGGAAUCUCUCUGUCAUCUUCACCUCCAGAUGGUGCCUCCAAAUCUCUUCUGAAAGGGCUUGUGCAGAGCAGAGUUGUUACAUUAAAUCACCACAGAGUGCAUAUCAUUCAGCCUUGUGAUGGCAAUGCUCAGGCAACAGAGGGACAAACAGAACACAAAACCAUGACGGACUUGCAAGCAAGGCUGAAGAUGCCCAGAGAUGGCAACAAGAAAUUUCACAGCGCCAAACAAUGA